AUACGGAGGGUGCAAGCGUUAAUCGGAAUUACUGGGCGUAAAGCGCGCGUAGGCGGUUUAGUAAGUCGGAUGUGAAAGCCCAGGGCUCAACCUUGGAAUUGCAUUCGAUACUGCUUAACUAGAGUAUGGUAGAGGGAAGUGGAAUUUCCGGUGUAGCGGUGAAAUGCGUAGAUAUCGGAAGGAACACCAGUGGCGAAGGCGACUUCCUGGGCCAAUCCUGACGCUGAGGUGCGAAAGCGUGGGGAGCAAACAGGAUUAGAAACCCGUGUAGUCC
This 274-nucleotide ribosomal RNA is filed under the name uncultured bacterium. RNAcentral's name for it is "partial 16S ribosomal RNA". It matches the Rfam family "Bacterial small subunit ribosomal RNA", at positions 523 to 796 of the family's 1533-position model. The record is from RNAcentral.